AUCGAUUCCAGCGGGAGCUCGCGCGUAGCGGGCUGAGAGGGCGCCGGGCGCCGACCGCAUGAACCUGAACUGGGUAAUGCCAGCGGAGGGAGACCCAUGAGCGAUA
Molecule: non-coding RNA, 106 nt
Filed under: Chloroflexota bacterium
Lineage: Bacteria; Bacillati; Chloroflexota
Description: Chloroflexi bacterium TPP sequence
Rfam family: TPP riboswitch aptamer (THI element)
About the family: Vitamin B(1) in its active form thiamin pyrophosphate (TPP) is an essential coenzyme that is synthesised by coupling of pyrimidine and thiazole moieties in bacteria. The previously detected thiamin-regulatory element, thi box was extended, resulting in a new, highly conserved RNA secondary structure, the THI element, which is widely distributed in eubacteria and also occurs in some archaea. Analysis of operon structures identified a large number of new candidate thiamin-regulated genes, mostly transporters, in various prokaryotic organisms.
Source: RNAcentral